RNAcentral lists this ribosomal RNA (253 nucleotides) under uncultured bacterium. Its description in RNAcentral is "partial 16S ribosomal RNA". It matches the Rfam family "Bacterial small subunit ribosomal RNA", at positions 524 to 776 of the family's 1533-position model. The record is from RNAcentral.
UACGGCGGGUGCGAGCGUUAAUCGGAAUUACUGGGCGUAAAGGGUGCGUAGGGGGUUGAUUAGGUUAUCUGUGAAAUUCCUGGGCUUAACCUGGGACGGUCAGAUAAUACUGGUUGACUCGAGUAUGGGAGAGGGUAGUGGAAUUUCCGGUGUAGCGGUGAAAUGCGUAGAGACCGGUAGGAACACCAGUGGGGAAGGCGGCUACCUGGCCUAAUACUGACACUGAGGCGCGAAAGCGUGGGGAGCAAACAGG